AUUGAACGCUGGCGGCAGGCCUAACACAUGCAAGUCGAGCGAGAAAGGUCUUCGGACUGAGUACAGCGGCGGACGGGUGAGUAAUGCGCAGGAAUCUACCUGGUAGUGGGGGAUAACUCGGGGAAACUCGAACUAAUACCGCAUACGCCUACGGGGAAAGCGGGGACCGUUCGGGCCUCGCGCUAUCAGAUGAGCCUGCGUAGGAUUAGCUUGUUGGUGAGGUAAAGGCUCACCAAGGCGACGAUCCUUAGCUGGUCUGAGAGGAUGAUCAGCCACACUGGAACUGAGACACGGUCCAGACUCCUACGGGAGGCAGCAGUGGGGAAUAUUGCGCAAUGGGCGAAAGCCUGACGCAGCCAUGCCGCGUGUGUGAAGAAGGCCCUUGGGUUGUAAAGCACUUUCAAUUGGGAAGAAAGGUUGCGUGUUAAUAGCACGUAGCUGUGACGUUACCUUUAGAAGAAGCACCGGCUAACUCCGUGCCAGCAGCCG
Molecule: ribosomal RNA, 489 nt
Filed under: uncultured bacterium
Lineage: Bacteria
Description: bacterial SSU rRNA
Rfam family: Bacterial small subunit ribosomal RNA
Source: RNAcentral